AGCUGGCUACAUUUACUUAGGACACUGGGAUGCCAUUCUCUGACAAUUUAUAAAACACAUUUCAGAUUAUUUGUGGGGAAAAACGUGUACAUAUGCACAUGUGACAUGCUCCACAAAAGUGUGAAGAGUCUUACCUGGUUAUUCUUCACUACAAAUUAGUGUUGUGUAAAGUUCUGCUUCUCCUGAAUUUUUGAAGGAGUUUGGCCACCACAAGGCCUGGAGAAAGGGAGGAUCUUCAGCUCCAUCAUGUGAACUUUGCAGCCAAACCCACCGUGGACCUCACCAUCCUCAAACAGGUUUUCCUGUUUAUGAGGUAGGAGGUCCAAGAGUGAUUGUUCAGCCUGCAGAACCAAGUCACCUCCUGGCUAACCUGCUGAUCACAGCUUUGAGUCUUCCAGCAGAAGGUUUUCCAUCACUUUUCAACUUCAGAGUAUAUGAAAACCAAUGAGGUGGGGGAGAGACAAAACCCAAAACAUUGCUUGUUUUUUCAUGCUAUUUGUUAAAGCUGCUGGUCCUGGAUUCUCUUUGACAUCUUCCACAUUUCUCUUUGUUUUGUCACCUGGCUGUAAAUAACACAAUAAUACACUUUCCUGGCCCUUAGGAAGGCAGUGCUCUCCCACUUGUCUUGUACAAUGGACUUGAGAGGAGCUUUCCUGGCAGCCCCUUGAAGAGCUUUAAAUUGAAACAUCCUUUAGUGUGGAGUGGUAAUCAAAAUGCUUGUGUGCCGUAUGGGAGAGGAGAAGGAAGCGUUUUUCAGCUUUAUGGCACAGAGUUUUUCCCAUUGUUGUAAGAGUUCCUUCAUUAAAGAAGCUACCUUAAAUUGCCACAGAGGUCCCAAAGAAAUUCUAACAAACCUUUGCUUUUGGAGAGCAGCAUUUGGAUCAGCUGUAACUGUAAUUGUACCCUGUUGUCACAGGUUCUCUGUGACUUUGCUUUGAGAGUUC
This is a non-coding RNA of Cyanistes caeruleus (blue tit), 944 nucleotides long. Lineage: Eukaryota; Metazoa; Chordata; Aves; Passeriformes; Paridae. The record is from RefSeq and is a predicted model, not a curated record.